RNAcentral lists this ribosomal RNA (509 nucleotides) under uncultured bacterium. Its description in RNAcentral is "partial 16S ribosomal RNA". It matches the Rfam family "Bacterial small subunit ribosomal RNA", at positions 28 to 523 of the family's 1533-position model. The record is from RNAcentral.
GACGAACGCUGGCGGCGUGCUUAACACAUGCAAGUGGUGCGACGAAACAGGCUUCGGCCUGGGGCGAAGCCGCGAACGGGUGAGUAACACGUGGGCAAUCUGCCCCUUUGAUCGGGACAACCCGGGGAAACCCGGGCUAAUACCGAAUUAGGUUGCGACCCAUGAGGGUCGUCACGAAAGGAAGCAUCGGCCUCCGCGAAGGGAGGAGCCAGCGGCCCAUUAGCUUGUUGGUGGGGUAAUGGCCUACCAAGGCAACGAUGGGUAGCUGGUCUGAGAGGACGAUCAGCCACACUGGGACUGAGACACGGCCCAGACUCCUACGGGAGGCUGCAGUGGGGAAUCUUGCGCAAUGAGCGACAGCUUGACGCAGCAACGCCGCGUGAGGGAAGAAGGCUUUCGGGUCGUAAACCUCUUUCAGUUAGGACGAAGCUUUAUUGGUUAAUAACCAAUUGGAGUGACGGUACUUUCAGAAGAAGCCCCGGCUAACUACGUGCCAGCCGCCGCGGUAA